CCCUCGUAGCUCAGUGGCUUGUCUGUCAUUCGCAUCCCACACAUCAAGGGUUCAAAGGCUGGUAGAUGAUGAUGAUGGAUGUACGCUAAUUAAUUAUUGAUCAGCACAGGUAUUCUAAAAUACCUUUUUUAAAAAAAAAAUUAAGUAUUUUUGAGAUAUUAUAAUGAAAUGAGAAGAAAGAAGCUUACAAGGAUGGAUGAAAAAAGGAGACUCCCACUAGCCUUUAUACCAUCCCAUGACCAUUAUUACUGUGAAUAUUUUUAUAUUUUUAGUUAUCAUUAUAGAAAUAAAAAAUAAAAAUUAUUGAGGAAAGCUUUGACAGAGUUUAGCCAUCAGAAUCCAUGGUGUUUUUAGAACAAGCAAAAAAAAAAAA
RNAcentral lists this long non-coding RNA (373 nucleotides) under Populus trichocarpa (black cottonwood). RNAcentral's name for it is "long non-coding RNA (PTRI_LNC004533)". Lineage: Eukaryota; Viridiplantae; Streptophyta; Magnoliopsida; Malpighiales; Salicaceae. The record is from RNAcentral.